CUAUUUUUUGUUCUACUAUUUCAUCUCCCUAUGUCUGUGUUUGAUGAGGUGUUAUAUAUAAAACAGUGGCUUAGAUUUCAUGAUCCAAAAUCACACAGCAUGGAUUCAAGCUCUAAUGUUCCCAUUUAUUAAACUUACUUUAAGUAAAAUAAAUUUGAAAACAUAUUUUCCACUAAAAAAAAAUGAUAGAAAAUAUUUUUAUCCUAAGAGUUGUGAAAAGUAGACGAAUAUGAUUUGGCAUACAAUAAGUGCUCAGUGUUAUCAGUUAUUAGUGUUUCAUUAUCUCAUGCUUUUAUCACACAGAGAUAUUGACUUUGUUAACUUAAGUAUUUAAUGUGUGGCUCUUUCAGCACACAAAUUCCUUUAAGCACUGUAUUGGUUUUCUAUUGCUGCUGUAGCUCAUUACUGAAAAUUUCUUAGCUUAAAGCAACUUAACUUCUUUAUUUGUUAAAUGAUAUAAAUUAUCAUUAAGUUAAUAGAAUGGUUUUGGAAGUUAGAAGUUCAAAGUGGCUCUGACCACACAGUGUUGUCAAGGUUGCAUUCCUUCUGGGAGCUGGAGGGAAGAAUCUGCCUUUUCCAGAUUCUAGACUGUGAUUAGCUCACGGUGACUUACUCUUUUUUUUCAGAGCCAACAGAAUAAUAUUUUCAAAUUUCUCUUUCUGACUCUGACUUCUUUCUUCCCUUUAGAAGGAUCUUUGUGAUUACAUUUGGAUCAACUAUAUAAUCCAAGAUAAUCCCAUUUCAAAAUCCUCAAUUUAAUCAUACCUGAAAUGUCCUUUUUACUUUGUAAAAUAUUCCAGGUUUCAAGGAUUAGGAAGAGACAUCUUUGGGGGCCACUAUUCUUUCUAGCACAUGCAGGAUCUAUGGGUUUUGUUUUAUUUUUUGCUUCUACAGUGUUUAGUGUAUAUCUUCUGCUUCUGAGCGGUACAAUAAAUGUCUGUUGAGCAAAUGAAUCAAUAAUGGAAGAAAGAACAGUGCUAAUGGAAAAUCUUAGACAUACCUGGGUUUCCUACUCUACUGCCAUUACUAGUUAAUUAUUCAAACCAGAACUUCCUGUUCUUCACUAGAGUAGCAACUGACUCAUGGAAGAUCUAUCUUUUUCUGUUUAUUAGAAAAAAUAAACCUAAUUAUUAUAAACCAGCUUGGGACACAGCUCCAACAAGAGCUGUGCUCUCAGGACAAACUUUCAUCAUCUCGCUAAUUUGACUCUUAUCCAUAAAUGUGCUGUGGUUACAGUGCCAAGAAUGUUUUAGAUCAGUGACAUGUGUAACAUAUGUUUCUUUGAGGUGCAUGCUGAAGGCUUCAUCAUGAAUUGCAGUACUGCUUAGAACAUUCUAAAUUGCAAUUUUACCUCGAGCACCAUUUUUCACUUUGCAGAAUGUCAAAAGUUUUUCUCUAUCGACUAAAGAAAGGCACUUAUCCCUAAAUUCAUGAAGGUUUAAUAGAAUAUGUUUGAUAAACUUAUCAGCCUAGAUGCCAGUUAUUUAUAUAGAUUGUACUGCUCAUUUUAUAUCAAAAUCCUCCUUUAUGCUACAGUGAAAGAGUUUUCAUCUGAAUGUUUUUAUUUGCAGACCGCUCAGAGCUGUUAUUCAAUAUCCAGUUUCUAAGGUUUCACAAAACUCAGUGGAAUUUUUGCUCAUCCAAUUUAAACUUUAAUCAUGGCAAAACAGUACAUAGAUAAUGAUUUAUUGCUGCAAAAAUAGAACAAUGAAAUGACAUGAAAUGUUCAUAUCUUGAUUGAAAUAUGAACAUUUACAAGGGUGUUAUAUUUAAUUCACGUCAUGUCAGCAACACCAACAGAGUUUUCAGUGCUCUGUUUCUCUAUUUAUUUGCAUUAUGCCUCUCAAACUGAAAGCUGUUGUCUCAAUUAGUUGACUGCUGCAGGCAGAAAACUCUGUUUUCCUUUAUAGACAAAUUUCAUAUUAAAAAAUGUUAGAAUCAUCUAUAUUUAUUUGUUAAAAGAACCCUCCCUAUAUCAAGAUAUCAACUUUAAUAUUCUCUAAGAGGGCUGAAUUAAAUAAGAAUUAUCCUCAGUGGAAGUUUUACCAAAUUCAAACCUGUUUAUAGGGUGCUUUAUUUGAAAUGUAGACAUUUUGGAAAACAUCAAAUUUAUAAUUACACACAAAAAUUCUGAUAGAUAUAAUCAUCCCAAUAGAUUUUGUUGUUUCUUUAGUUAAUGCCUACUGAGAAGAGUAAUAGAAGUGCCAAGAAUAUUUUUAAGCAGACCUGGGACUAAUUCUCACUUAAAUUCCAAAAACAAAAAGGAAAAAACAAAGUUUAUUAGAGAAUUGUGGAAAGUACCCCAAGGUGAGAUAUUCUGGGGACUGAUACUAAUACAGGAUAGGAAAAAACAAACUGAAAAUCUAAAAAAUAUGUGUAUAUAUUUUAUUCAGUCCGGAAGGAAUUUAAUGGAAUAACCAAAUAUCACCGCUUUCUCCUCAAGGACUCAGUUUAUACCUGUUACCUUAUGUAAUUAUUAAUAGGCCCUCCUGACACUCAAACAUUUCCCUGAUAGUGUGAGAAAUUAUAUGAUCACAUAAAACUUAAAGGCCUAAUACUUUGGAUCCCAAAAGGCCUUUCACUGUUGAGAAGAAAAUGGUCCCUAAACGAAGAUUGUUAGAAUUUGAGCAACUUUUGCUAUUCUAUUAGAAAAAAAGAGUCAUGAAGAUUGAAGACCAAUCUUUGAGAACUGAUCUAUUUGAUGUAUAUAUUGCUUGGUCUAGUCUGUGACAGUUUCAUUAAAUUGGUGUAAUUUUCUUUGGCAGAAAAGUGAUUGUAUCUAAUUUCAGAGCCAAAUCUCUUGAGAUCUCUAAGCUAACAAUUGCAAUAUGAGAAGCUUAUCAACUAUUUAAAUUUUAUGUUAAGGAUUUGUUGCACUUAAUGGAUUUUUUUUUUUAAGAUUUCAAAAUUCUAGAGAGUGAAAUAGGAAACAAUUCCUUAUACAUUACUAUUCUGAGGAAACAUUACAAACUCCAACAUUAAAAUGGUGAUAUACCUAUAUUUGCUCACCAUUAGCGUUUCUGGCUUUAUAUGCUUAUUAUCACUUAGUAAUGUGUAGAAUUUUUUAAAUGAAAUGACCUAGCUGAAUUAAUAUUAAUGAUAAUCAAAUUAAAACACAAAAAUCCACUGGUUUUGUUUGUAUCUCUAUUAUGUUUUAAUAGUGCAGUGGACUCUUAAGAAAAUAGUGGUAUAAGACAUGGUUUUUGCCCCUACAGAAAUCAUUUUGGCAUAAAAAACAACAGUUACCAUCAUCAUAAUUAAUUAUAGUACUUAUUAGAGUCUUGAUAGGGAACAGAAAUGGUGCUCAAAUUGGGUAUUAUGAGGAGAGUGUAAUAAAGAAGAUCUUUUCAAAAGUCAUAGAGGAAAGUGCAGUCAGAUGUAAAGAAACCAUAAAGGAUAAUGCAACAUUUGGAGGCUUGUAACAGAAGGGCUAUUAUGACCCAUAAACCAUCAAGAGAGGGAGCCCAGGGAAUAAUCAAUCUUAACUUUUCCUUCUUUUCCCAGUUUACUUCUGGUGCUCCCUAUUUGCCAAAGUCACCAGAGUGUGAGAAGUCAAGGGAGAUCCUUGAUGUAGUCCCUAUGGACUUGAGCCUCCCAGGGCAGGGAGCAGGGUAGAAAAGGAGGCAAAACAGCUCUCUAGUAGAAACUAUAGAACAUCCAGCAAAACCACCAUCAUCCUCAUCAGGACUAACUUCUUUGAACACUUACCAGCUAUAGCCCAAGUAGCUUAAUCUGUACAACAAUGACAGAAGGGUAAAGUUUAUGACCUCAUGGAGGUGAGGCUAGGCUUUGAAAAUGACCUGAUAUAAAUAGCACGUGGAUACAAAGGGUAUUAAGCAUGGCCUGCAGGCCAUAUUUUGAUUUUCAGCAAAACUUGGAGUGUGUAUGUGUGUGUGUAUAUGCCCUGUAGCUGGUAGAGAGGGGUUAGCUAAAACUAAGGCAAGCAUUUAGGCAGGGUUUCAUAUUGUUACAGAGUACUGAUAAAGCUCUUAAUUUUUAGUGUCAUGCAUACACAGACAGCUUUAGAUAGGUUGGCUCAAAUUUAAAUCUACAUUCAGGGUUAGCGGUAACUACAAAGGGACUAGAAAACUUUGGAUUCAUGUGGUUUAUCCACAGGCUCUUAGACAUCACUCUCUAUUCCUUGAGACCAAAUUGUUUCUGGAUUUUUAUUUGCAUAAACUCUGACCAGAGGUCUUCUAUGACUCAACUUGUGGGUUCACCCAUAGAAAGUGGUGGGUUCACCCAUAGAAAGUGGUGGGUUAUAAAUAAAUACUAGUAAACUGUAUAUGAAAAUCAUAAGCCAUUUUUAUGACUUGAAGUAGAGAAAUGACUUAAAGAAAUUACUACAAACUAAUAAAGCAGCAUUCAUGUUCUGGGUCUGGCGUACCUUAUAUUAAGAGCUAGAAUUGCUUAAAAAUGGAGAAGAAACUGGAUGGUUUUGAGAAGAGUGCGUCAAUCUAAUGGUCAGGAUGGAAAUAGUAUAGGAGUAAAAACAAAAUAAAUCAGUCUGAUUGAAUUGGAGGGAGAUACUCAAAGGAAGAUGUUGAGAUCUAAUCUGUCUUAGAGGACAGAUUAGAAAUACCUAAGAGGAAAAUGAGAUCUUAAAGUUCAGGCUAAACUGAUAAACACUGGCAUGUAACUACUCUUUAAAAGGCCGUUAAAAUAAAGAAGGAUUUUAAAUGCAAUUGAGAAAUAGUGACUAAUGCCCAAAGAAAUUUAACAGGGAAUAACAAAAUAUUCCAGAGAAGAUGGAAAUGACUCCCACAAAGAGAAUCAGUAUUCUGGAAACUAUUGAGAGAUAUCUUUGAAAAUCAGGGUUAGAAGAUCCAUAAUUAGAAAAACUACCCAUUAAAGAUUAUUAAAAACAUACCUAGAGCUUCAAAAUUCUAGACAAGAGUUUCCUCUGUGGCUCAGCAGGUUACAGCUCAGUGUUCCCAUGAGCUGUGGUGUAGGUCACAGAUGUGGCUUGGAUUCUGUGUUGCUGUGGCUGUGGUGUAGGCUGGCAGCUG
RNAcentral lists this long non-coding RNA (5009 nucleotides) under Sus scrofa (pig). Its description in RNAcentral is "lncRNA (ENSSSCG00000057771.1)". The record is from RNAcentral. Lineage: Eukaryota; Metazoa; Chordata; Mammalia; Artiodactyla; Suidae.